AUUGAACGCUGGCGGAAUGCUUUACACAUGCAAGUCGAGCGGCAGCACGGGGGCAACCCUGGUGGCGAGCGGCGAACGGGUGAGUAACACAUCGGAACAUGCCCAGUCGUGGGGGAUAACACUUCGAAAGAAGUGCUAAUACCGCAUACGUCCUGAGGGAGAAAGCGGGGGAUCGCAAGACCUCGCGCGAUUGGAGUGGCCGAUGUCAGAUUAGCUAGUUGGUGGGGUAAAGGCCUACCAAGGCAACGAUCUGUAGCUGGUCUGAGAGGAUGAUCAGCCACACUGGGACUGAGACACGGCCCAGACUCCUACGGGAGGCAGCAGUGGGGAAUUUUGGACAAUGGGGGCAACACUGAUCCAGCCAUGCCGCGUGAGUGAAGAAGGCCUUCGGGUUGUAAAGCUCUUUCGGGAGGAAAGAAACGGUGAGCUCUAACAUAGCUUGUUAAUGACGGUACCUGAAGAAGAAGCACCGGCUAACUACGUG
This 484-nucleotide ribosomal RNA is filed under the name uncultured bacterium. Its description in RNAcentral is "partial 16S ribosomal RNA". It matches the Rfam family "Bacterial small subunit ribosomal RNA", at positions 29 to 507 of the family's 1533-position model. The record is from RNAcentral.